Molecule: long non-coding RNA, 654 nt
Organism: Rhopalosiphum padi (bird cherry-oat aphid)
Lineage: Eukaryota; Metazoa; Arthropoda; Insecta; Hemiptera; Aphididae
Exons: 3
Source: RefSeq, a predicted model, not a curated record
CCGUUGAAUACGCUCAUUUAUCGUUCGAUUCAACUUAAAAAUAUCUAAUUAAGUAAUUUUAAUUUUUAGCUGUACUGAAAGUUGUGAACUAAGUCGAUAUUUCACUGAGUUAAUUAUUAUUAUUAUUUUAUUUUUUUAAUAAGUUUUUAUUAUUAUUUUUUUAAAUGGCAGCAACUUUUGUCUCGCGAUUAGUGAUUAUAGGAUUUUUACUUCCAUCAUCGUGGGGAGUGAGAAAUAAAUAUGAAGAACAACUUCUCAGUACGGAUGAUUUAAUAAUUAUAUAUGGUGUAGAAUUUGUUAAGAAACGUACUGAGGAAGCUGCAACUUGGGAAGCCGCGACUCGGGAAGCUGCGAUUCGGGAAAAUGUUAACGAAAGCGAAGAAACUUCAAUGGAAUCAUCCGAUGAAGAAGAUCAAUGACAUAUACUCACCAGUUUUUAGUACAUCGGAUCCUUAACUCGUAGACGCCGCUUAUAAGACUCGCGGAUACAAGGUUCAGUUGCUUAGAAGACUCAAAUUUCGUAAAAAUUAAUAAUUUUUGGUUAAAAUUUAGAAAUAAGUUAGAAAUAAAUACAACAAAUUUUAUCGCUUAUACUACAAUUUAUAGUGCGAGUUAUAAUAAUUUUAAUGUACAAAAUGAGUACGAGUAGUAACA